Long non-coding RNA from Leguminivora glycinivorella, 2181 nucleotides. RefSeq lists it as uncharacterized. The transcript has 2 exons. NCBI's taxonomy places the organism in Eukaryota, Metazoa, Arthropoda, Insecta, Lepidoptera, Tortricidae. The record is from RefSeq and is a predicted model, not a curated record.
UUCAUCCUCAGAGUCGAGGUCUUUCUUAGACUGGAUUACAUGGUACUCAAAGUCAGACCUGAAAAUAAAAAAUAAGAUUCUGUUAUGUUCAGUCGAACGAGAUUUCACAGUUGUACUUGUACCUCUCUCCAGCGAGGGUUAUAAAUUUUAAGUUAAAGUUAAUACCAAUACGCACUUAACUCGCAUAAAACUGCUACUUAGAAGGAUACUUAUCGGUAAAUUUAAUCGAGAACAAACAUCACUCAACACCAUAUUCAGAAUAGUUUAUAGCUAAAUAAAAUAUUACAAACUUACGAACAUUGUUUCAAGGUGAAUUUCUCCGUGUACGUAAAACUCGCACUGUAACACUUGCACUUGUUAGAAAAUAGUACAGGAAAUGAAUAAGCCAGGGGUUUUAUUAAUAAAACGAAACUGACGUAAAGACAUGAGUUAACAACCUAAAAGCAAAUUAUAACUAACAUAAACUACAACAUUUGCAAAAAUACAGUAAGAAACCAAUAUAAUACAAAGGUUGAUCAUCACUGUAAUAUAAUAUUCAACUCAGCUAAUUAUUGAAAAACAAAAGUGUAAUAUUUCUUUUGUCGGAAACAAGAUCCGCAUAAAGGUUCCGGCACUAAUCAAACGAAUGUCGCCGCGUUAAGACCGCGUUCAAUGUGCAAGCUAUAAUAGCUAAUAGCUAUACUAUAUUUUGUUACUACGAAGUUAUAAAUAGAGCAUUUAAUAAAUUAAAAUUACAACAGUUCGAGAUUUCAAGCCGGGUGCAUUAUCAGUUUCAAAAUCAGAAUGGGCUCGCAACCUAUUAACCACGCUGCUGAAAUGACUGAAACCACACCAUUUUAUUCGCAAGUUUGUGAAAAACCGAAUGAUCCGCUCAAUUAUUCUCAAGACAUGGAUGCGUACCUGAAAUACCAGGAUUUGCUCCUGAAUCCAUCUUUAGAAAUUCCAUUAUCAGGUACACCAGCAAAAAGUCAGAAGAAAAUCGCUAAGAAAGGAAAGAGGAAAAUAAAAGAAAUGGGUUUAAAUUCCCAUGUCAUCAGAAAGGUUACAAAAGGAAAGCGUCUGAUUAAAAUCAGUAUAUCCGAUUUGGAGCAAUCAAAUAUCGAAUCUAAUGGGGUUACAGUACAAUAUGUUGUUCAAGAUGACUAUGAUGAGUUAUUAAAUGCAACUGAAGGUCUGGUAGAAAAAAUUGUAAAAAAGUUGAGUGAAGUGAGUAAUUAUUAGAAAAUUUUAUGUUAUAAAAUGUACUUUACUUUUUAGUUAGUCGUCGUGCUUGUAAUAUUUCUCAUUACUUAAAUAAAAUGGUUUCAUGAUAAAUUAAUUGUUUUAUUUUUAACAUACUAAAACAUAGAGAAUAAAUACGAUAUUAUUUUUAGAGUUUUACCACUCACAAUAUAGUUGAAAUAUGUAUACUGAGAUCUAUUUUAUAUCAAAACCAUUUAUAAUUCAUGUAAAUCGUGAUCAUUUUAUAAGAUAAACAUAGCGAGUGAGCAACCAGGUAAACUGACUCAAAUUACAACUAAAUGAGUGAUUGCAAUUUCGCAUACUGUUCAAUGUAUGUCAUGAUUUUAAUAUAAUCAAAAUUUGAACCUUAUAUCUUUAUGAAAAGUUCUGCUUUGCAAAGUGCAGUAUAUGACAUACGCUAGCCUUUAAUUUAUACUGAACUCUUUGUUAUGGGUGUCAAAGAAGAUCAUAUUUUAUAUACGUUAUUUUAAACCAUAUAUUACAAAAUUCGUAGUAGAUAUGACGUGGGAGUACGUAAUCCGAAACAGCCAAUAGCAUAACUGGGUCUACAUCACACUUAUAAAGUUUUUACAAUGUUUCAUAUAAAUAAAAAUGGUGAUGUGUAGUAUGUCGGGUUGUGACGACCGACAACCUCAACACGUAAACCAUUCCUUGGCUUGGCCAACCGAGGCAUGUAGUGUUGAAUUCGAGACUUGGGGAUCUCUGUAUUUACGCGGUCGAUAGAUAUGGAAUCCCAUACCCGGAGGGGGUCAAACUCAAUCGAUGCAUGUAAAACGCGACUACACCAGAGUUCACACUUUGGGGGUCCAUUCGUGUUCUGCGACGCUGACGAGCUGAUCAGACACGUUGUGUGUAAACGCCACUGUCAAUCGAGCAAACGCUUGAGAGAGACCACAUCUGAGAUUGGCCACCUCGGAGAGUGUGUUGCGUUAAGCUUUU